This 73-nucleotide transfer RNA is filed under the name Anaerolineaceae bacterium. RNAcentral describes it as "tRNA-Glu". It matches the Rfam family "tRNA". Rfam says of the family: Transfer RNA (tRNA) molecules are approximately 80 nucleotides in length. Their secondary structure includes four short double-helical elements and three loops (D, anti-codon, and T loops). RNAcentral also lists the same sequence under 1 other name. Lineage: Bacteria; Bacillati; Chloroflexota; Anaerolineae; Anaerolineales; Anaerolineaceae. The record is from RNAcentral.
GCCUCCAUCGUCUAGGGGACUAGGACGCAGCCCUUUCAAGGCUAAAACCAGAGUUCGAAUCUCUGUGGAGGCA